GUUCUGCUUUCUUUAGCGAGUUCUCGAAUUUUGUUUAGACCAUCUGGUGAUCAGUCCGGUGUGAAUUUCAGGAGACCAUAUGUUUCAAGGAGGCAUGUCGGGGUAUGUAAUGCCCUAGUGGAACCCUACCGCCUUCCCUUAUGUCAAACCGUACAUGUAUACGUACGGAAGUUACCUGGGAUGGUGCCUUUUAAUUCCACAAUGGUCCCAAUUACGCCUUACGGAGUUCCACCUUAUGUUCCGUGUAUUUAUGGCAACUUACAUGUUCCUAGGUGACCUUUGUGACAACCGUCAAAAAUCCAGGGAACUAAGUGGAUCUGGCAGGUGUUGCAUGUUUUCAAGCUGCGUCAUGAAUAAAAGAUGUCAUCCAAGGUCGUUAGGGUUUAGAGGAUGUAUCUUAAUCCUGGACGAGAUACAUGGUUCUAAACUUGGUUUUAAUUAAGGUCCUUUGUCGAGUCUUCGUGAACUCAUUAAAACAUGUUGUGGUGUGUAACUUGAAUUUUGUGUCAACGUUUCAGACAAGUAUGUUGUGGUAUUUUCAAACUUAAUUAAUGGAUGAACAUCUUAUGGUUUU
Long non-coding RNA from Helianthus annuus (common sunflower), 574 nucleotides. RefSeq lists it as uncharacterized. The transcript is spliced from 2 exons. The record is from RefSeq and is a predicted model, not a curated record. Lineage: Eukaryota; Viridiplantae; Streptophyta; Magnoliopsida; Asterales; Asteraceae.